UUCAAAGCAUAUCCCUAGGUUAAAGGGUUCCUGGCCUCCAAGCGUCCCCCUUCCCUAGGCUGUCUGUGGGGUACAGCAUGUGGAUCCUCUGUCCCAGGCUCCCCUGUGAAGAUGUCAGGAACGGUCGGGGUGAUGUGAGGCUUCACUUGUGGGAAGUAGUGUUUUGGAAGGCUAAUGAGCUCUAGUCCCACUUCAAGAUAUGCCCCAUACUUCUUUCAGCAACAGCAUGAAUGUCAGAGGUGGAGGUGACCUUUACGAUUCAAAAUCUCCAGUUUUCAGCUGAGAAAACUGAGACCAAGAUUUGUCCAAGGCCACAUAAUGACUUCAUGGCAGAUGAGACUAGAACCAAGCUGUCUGAAUCCCCGUCAAGUUCUCUUAACAUGCAGAACAAAAGGAUGAGAAGGCAAGAAUUCUGACUAGAGCUUUGCAAGCUGAUGGGGUCUUCAAGUCCUGACCAGCCAAAAGACUCUGUGGAGUGACUGGUAAGGGUGAUGGGGACGAUGCAGAGACGUGACCAAGAGCAUAAGUAAGACUUCACAGGAGAACCACAGCAACUCAUGAAGAUGACCAGCUAAGAAGCGCAGGGGUUUCAAUUUGCAUGGAUCAGAGGACACCCACAUGGUUCCAAGCUCUGAUCCUCAAAGUACUGAAGAAAGUAUGGAUUAAACAAGGUUUUGUAGCCCAAGGGAUACAGGGGCCAAGGGAUGCUAUUUAUAACAUCAUUCCUAAGGGAAAACUCACUCUGAGUUCCCAAAAGCUGACUAAUGAAUGAGAGGAACACAAUGUAUUAGUAAGUCUGGGAUUGCUUUUAUAUGAAUGACGUGUGAAUUACAGAUAAGCUUAAUCUUUUAAAAUUUUAAAAAGAAGAGGUAGGUAACCUAAAGGAAUCUCUAAGAAGCAGAAUGCAAAAUUUUGUUGUUGUUCAGUCCUGUAGGACUCUUUGUGACCCCAUUUGGGGUUUUCUUGGCAAGGAUACUGAAG
Molecule: long non-coding RNA, 981 nt
Organism: Phascolarctos cinereus (koala)
Lineage: Eukaryota; Metazoa; Chordata; Mammalia; Diprotodontia; Phascolarctidae
Source: RefSeq, a predicted model, not a curated record